AUGAAGCCUACAUGCUUGCUGGAGUUUGAAAUGAGUCAUCAUUAUCUAUCAACAUUGAACAUCAAGGUUGUUGAUAGAGGUGAUCAGAAGGUGCCUUUCGGCUCUCAGGAGUCUACCUGUCCCAAGUCACCAUCGAGCGGGCUGCUCAUCAGGUGCAGGGCAGAAGGCUGUCUGCAUACAGAGUAAUUCAAAGGUAAAGAUCUGAUAGGAAGGCACGUUUGGUUGAGGACCAAUCCAAGAAUUUGGGGGAACUUCAGCUUGCACACUGGAGAGGCUGCUAGAAAGAGGGAGAAAGUUUCUGCGAUGAGGAGCAGGGGCCUUAGGUGUUCAGGUACAGAGGGCAGAAGAUCUUGGUAGAGGCCUUGGGAAUUAAUAAGGAAGCCAGAGGAGGUACUUGGUGGAAUUUUGGGGUGACAGGCACAUCCUGUAGGAGCAUCAUAGCUUGUCCCCAGUAGAGUCGUUCCCAAGUGGGACCCAGGGUCCUGCCUGCCAACUCACCUAGAUAUUUAGGUGCACGCUUGAUUGUGUCCAUGAGCACACACCCACUUACAUUUCCCAUUAGAAGACUAUUGCUAAUUAACAUUCAAUUAAGAAAAUUUGGAAAAUAUAGAAAAAUAUGUCAAAAAAAGUAAAUGACCCACAAUCCCAUUAUUCAGAGGUAUAACUUAUUAACAUGUUGCCUAAUUCCUUUCCUGUCUUUUCUUGCACUUAAUAUACUUUUUACCAAAUUGCAAUAUACAGUGCUGCAUUCUACAUUUUCUUCCCUUAAUAUUAUAUGACAGGAAAUAUAAUAUGGCCACUUAGCAUUUUUUCACAUAUAUUCAGCAUCAUUAACUUGACCAUUCUUCCUCUGCUGUACAUUUUUUAUUACUAGUGUUUUUUUCUAUUACAAAUAAUUUUUAAACAAACUAUAUUUGUGCAGAAAUCAGAAACCAUAUUUGGGAUUUUCAGGAUAGGUUCUCAGAAGGAUUUGCACAUUUCAGAAGUUGGUAACAUAUUCCUUUUAUUCUUUCAGUGAAUACUGGUGGAUGGCAGUGCCCGGCUCUGUCCCAGCCUCUGGGACUAUCAGCGGAGGAGGAAGGACUGACCAGAAUGCUCAGAGAGCUCAUAUGCUCACAGCAGACAGGGAGGGUAGGAAGUGCUUAUAAUAUGGUGCCCGUGUGUCAAGAUGUGGAGAGUCUCUGUGCUGCUGGACAAUGCAGCCAGAGCUCUAACCGUGCCCUCGGGGGCCAGGAGGCAUGCUGAAGGAGUGGCGUCUUAAGCUGAGGUCUGGGAGCAGCAAGGAUUAAGCCUAUUUUGGCAGCAGAAAUAGUACAAACAAAUAUUUUUUUGGAGACAGUAUAGGCUCCUGCAAGUUACUGAAAGUUACUGAAAGAAGCACAAUGAUGCUGAAUUAUAAGGUGUCAGAGACAGAAGUCUAUAGAGACCAACAACAAUUUUAAGAAUCUUCUGAGGCAUUUGAGGGGUUUGGUCAUUAUCUUGGGGAUAAUAAAGAGCCAUUGAAAUGUCUUCA
RNAcentral lists this long non-coding RNA (1513 nucleotides) under Canis lupus dingo (dingo). Its description in RNAcentral is "lncRNA (ENSCAFG00020022523.1)". The record is from RNAcentral. Lineage: Eukaryota; Metazoa; Chordata; Mammalia; Carnivora; Canidae.